UGCUCCAGAAUAUGUGAUGACAGGUACAGAAGUUGUAAUAUUUGGUUUGGACUCCUUGAAACCUUUUUUUAACUCUCACAUACAGAUCUUUGAUUCAAUGGAGAAUUUAAGUCAACUAGAGAACAAGUUUAUAUAUCUGUAGAUGAAUAGGAUUGACUAACUACUGGCAUUGAUGAUCUUCUGCUUAAGGAGAGUUUUUUAUUAGCCCUGCGCUACUAAGAACUCUUUCUUCAUCCAGUUUAGCUCCUUUGGAACAUAUUCUUCAAGGCUAGGGAAUCAGAUCAUAUUGUGAAUCAUCUGGUUGUGGAUCUAAUAAAUUCUACACUUUUGGCUUUUCUCCCAGGACACUUGACAUCUAAGA
This 361-nucleotide unclassified non-coding RNA is filed under the name Hevea brasiliensis (rubber tree). The record is from RNAcentral. Lineage: Eukaryota; Viridiplantae; Streptophyta; Magnoliopsida; Malpighiales; Euphorbiaceae.